CCUGAUGGCUCAGUUGGUAAAGAAUCUGCCUGCAAUGCAAGAGACCCAGGUUUGAUUCCUGGGUCAGGA
RNAcentral lists this transfer RNA (69 nucleotides) under Ovis aries (sheep). It matches the Rfam family "tRNA". Rfam says of the family: Transfer RNA (tRNA) molecules are approximately 80 nucleotides in length. Their secondary structure includes four short double-helical elements and three loops (D, anti-codon, and T loops). Lineage: Eukaryota; Metazoa; Chordata; Mammalia; Artiodactyla; Bovidae. The record is from Rfam by way of RNAcentral.